This is a long non-coding RNA of Dreissena polymorpha, 1027 nucleotides long. RefSeq lists it as uncharacterized. The transcript is spliced from 3 exons. The record is from RefSeq and is a predicted model, not a curated record. Lineage: Eukaryota; Metazoa; Mollusca; Bivalvia; Myida; Dreissenidae.
GUUAACAACGCGCGUAGUGUAUGUGGUUUGCGGGUGUGUAUGGAACUAUCGGCUUUGCAUGUUUACGCUGUAAAUAAAACAAUUUUGACAUUGGUUGAACGGGAACGAAAUAAAUCUUGAAAGAAAGAAAUUCAGCUAGAGAAAGUUGACCUCAUUCAACACAAUGAUUGUUUAUGUCUAAGACAGGACCAAGACAGCGCUUUUUCAACACCUUUGGUUCAAAUAUAGUGGAUAGAGUAUGAUGGAAAGGUGCCUGGAUGUUACUGCUUUUAUGGACAGGAAGGGAUACCCGUGUUGUGCUUGUGUGAGGACCUUGUAGAUGAUGUUGAAGUGAGAACUACAUAUAGCGAGAGUGUGUUUGGGGGGAAAUGAUGUUUCAACAACUGAGACACCACAGAUAAUAGUUUGGAACAUAAUGAACUUGUUGGAUGAUUAGUGAUCAGGGUCAAUGUUUGUGCCUCACAUGAUAGUGGCCGUAUUGCUGGCAGUGUGCCUUUUGAGGCUCUCCACCCCUCCAAGUUUGCAAAUAUGGCGGCGUUGAUAGAAGUAUGCGUUAUUUGUUUGCAACUUCAAUUUGUUUAUUAUACUGUCCUAUUUCAAUUGGAUCACUGUAAUUAAUGUAGUUACGAGCGCAAUGUCAGUAUAUCCCCUAAUCACCUAACUACUGACCCCUCUCAUGCCAUUUAUACGCAGGUCAAAGAAUCCACUUCCUGGCCCCUGUGAAACUUGUUAACAGACUUCUUUCUUGCCACUAUAUGGAAACUGUGUAUGUGUUAACAGGAAAGCAUCGCUGACUCCUAUCACAUGAUGUGUUUAAUAUAAAAACAGGGGCAUAUACAAAUGGUUGAUAUCCAGUUUCUGUAAGCUGCAUUUUAUUGCAAAGUAUGUUGUUUUCUUACCAAAGAAUCUUAGCGUUUUUCAUUUUUAAUAUGUUUUGUCUGUGAUACUAGUAUCUUUGAUUUUAUCUAUGUAAACAAUUAAUAUAUAUGUAUAUAUUUAUAUAUAUAUAUAUAUAUAUAUAUAUAUA